This 304-nucleotide long non-coding RNA is filed under the name Gopherus agassizii (Agassiz's desert tortoise). RNAcentral describes it as "lncRNA (ENSGAGG00000007500.1)". The record is from RNAcentral. Lineage: Eukaryota; Metazoa; Chordata; Testudines; Testudinidae.
CUGCUGGCCGCCGUCCUGCUGGGGGCCGGGCCCCGGGCCGGAGCGCCGCGCCCCCGCGUCACCGCCAACUUCGCCUGCAAAGUCAGGGCGGACAGUGCCCUCCCCAGGCCCCGGUGCCACCAGAAGGAGCAGGAUGGAGCAGCCCUGUCCCCGCCAGCCCUAGCUCUGAGCACAGCCCGGCUGUGCCAGGCCUCCCGCGACUGCCAGCCGUGCGUGCACGUGCGCCUGGCCCUGCACACUGCAGGUAGGUGGGCCGGCCUCAUCUGCACCCCGUUUUAGAGUGGGUUCCUGAGACGCUGCUUGG